This 459-nucleotide ribosomal RNA is filed under the name uncultured bacterium. RNAcentral describes it as "bacterial SSU rRNA". It matches the Rfam family "Bacterial small subunit ribosomal RNA", at positions 28 to 526 of the family's 1533-position model. The record is from RNAcentral.
GAUGAACGCUGGCGGCGUGCCUAAUACAUGCAAGUCGUGCGGUAAGGCCCUUCGGGGUACACGAGCGGCGGACGGCUGAGUAGCGCGUGGGAACGUACCCCAAAGUGAGGGAUAACUGCUCGAAAGAGUAGCUAAUACCGCAUGUGGUCUUCGGAUUAAAGCUUCGGCGCUUUGGGAACGGCCUGCGUAUGAUUAGUUAGUUGGUGAGGUAACGGCUCACCAAGACCACGAUCAUUAGCUGGUCUGAGAGGAUGAUCAGCCAGACUGGGACUGAGAACGGCCCAGACUCCUACGGGAGGCAGCAGUAGGGAAUUUUCCACAAUGGGCGAAAGCCUGAUGGAGCAACGCCGCGUGCAGGAUGAAUGCCUUCGGGUUGUAAACUGCUUUUAUAUGUGACGAUUAUGACGGUAGCAUAUGAAUAAGGAUCGGCUAAUUCCGUGCCAGCAGCCGCAGUAACAC